This 68-nucleotide ribosomal RNA is filed under the name Proteus sp. PR00224. Lineage: Bacteria; Pseudomonadati; Pseudomonadota; Gammaproteobacteria; Enterobacterales; Morganellaceae. The record is from RNAcentral.
CUUGGCGGCCAUAGCGCAGCGGACCCACCUGAAUCCAUGCCGAACUCAGAAGUGAAACGUUGUAGCGC